Molecule: ribosomal RNA, 449 nt
Filed under: uncultured bacterium
Lineage: Bacteria
Description: partial 16S ribosomal RNA
Rfam family: Bacterial small subunit ribosomal RNA
Source: RNAcentral
AGCGAACGCUGGCGGCAGGCCUAACUCAUGCAAGUCGAACGAAGUCUUCGGACUUAGUGGCGGACGGGUGAGUAACACGUGGGAACGUACCUUUUGGUUCGGAACAACUCAGGGAAACUUGAGCUAAUACCGAAUGUGCCCUUAGGGGGAAAGAUUUAUCGCCAUUAGAGCGGCCCGCGUUAGAUUAGCUAGUUGGUGAGGUAAAGGCUCACCAAGGCUACGAUCUAUAGCUGGUCUGAGAGGAUGAUCAGCCACACUGGGACUGAGACACGGCCCAGAAUCCUACGGGAGGCAGCAGUGGGGAAUCUUGCGAAAUGGGCGAAAGCCUGACGCAGCCAUGCCGCGUGAAUGAUGAAGGUCUUAGGAUUGUAAAAUUCUUUUAGCAGGGACGAUAAUGACGGUACCUGCUGAAAAAGCCCCGGCUAACUUCGUGCCAGCCGCCGCCGUAA